CACAAGCGGUGGAGCAUGUGGUUUAAUUCGAUGAUACGCGAGGAACCUUACCAGGGCUUAAAAGCAGAACGACCGGCGUGGAAACAUGCCUUUCUUCGGACGGACUGCAAGGUGCUGCAUGGUCGUCGUCAGCUCGUGCCGUGAGGUGUCGGGUUAAGUCCCAUAACGAGCGCAACCCCUAUCUUUAGUUGCCAGCGGAUAAUGCCGGGGACUCUAGAGAAACUGCCAGCGUAAGCUGUGAGGAAGGUGGGGAUGACGUCAGAUCAUCACGGCCCUUACGUCCUGGGCUACACACGUGCUACAAUGGCAAGGACAAUGAGCUGCCAACCCGCGAGGGUGAGCAAAUCUUCAAACCUUGUCUCAGUUCGGAUCGGAGUCUGCAACUCGACUCCGUGAAGUUGGAAUCGCUAGUAAUCGCGUAUCAGCCAUGACGCGGUGAAUACGUUCCCGGGCCUUGUACACACCGCCCGUCAAACCAUGGAAGUUGGGGGUGCCUGAAGUACGUUACCGCAAGGAGCGUCCUAGGGUAAAACUGGUGACUGGGGUUAAGUCGUAACAAGGUAGCC
This 566-nucleotide ribosomal RNA is filed under the name uncultured bacterium. RNAcentral's name for it is "bacterial SSU rRNA". It matches the Rfam family "Bacterial small subunit ribosomal RNA", at positions 924 to 1501 of the family's 1533-position model. The record is from RNAcentral.